RNAcentral lists this ribosomal RNA (690 nucleotides) under Herbaspirillum huttiense. RNAcentral describes it as "bacterial SSU rRNA". It matches the Rfam family "Bacterial small subunit ribosomal RNA", at positions 83 to 769 of the family's 1533-position model. The record is from RNAcentral. Lineage: Bacteria; Pseudomonadati; Pseudomonadota; Betaproteobacteria; Burkholderiales; Oxalobacteraceae.
UCCUGAUGGCGAGUGGCGAACGGGUGAGUAAUAUAUCGGAACGUGCCCUAGAGUGGGGGAUAACUAGUCGAAAGACUAGCUAAUACCGCAUACGAUCUACGGAUGAAAGUGGGGGAUCGCAAGACCUCAUGCUCCUGGAGCGGCCGAUAUCUGAUUAGCUAGUUGGUGGGGUAAAAGCCUACCAAGGCAACGAUCAGUAGCUGGUCUGAGAGGACGACCAGCCACACUGGGACUGAGACACGGCCCAGACUCCUACGGGAGGCAGCAGUGGGGAAUUUUGGACAAUGGGGGCAACCCUGAUCCAGCAAUGCCGCGUGAGUGAAGAAGGCCUUCGGGUUGUAAAGCUCUUUUGUCAGGGAAGAAACGGUAGUAGCGAAUAACUAUUACUAAUGACGGUACCUGAAGAAUAAGCACCGGCUAACUACGUGCCAGCAGCCGCGGUAAUACGUAGGGUGCAAGCGUUAAUCGGAAUUACUGGGCGUAAAGCGUGCGCAGGCGGUUGUGUAAGUCAGAUGUGAAAUCCCCGGGCUCAACCUGGGAAUUGCAUUUGAGACUGCACGGCUAGAGUGUGUCAGAGGGGGGUAGAAUUCCACGUGUAGCAGUGAAAUGCGUAGAUAUGUGGAGGAAUACCGAUGGCGAAGGCAGCCCCCUGGGAUAACACUGACGCUCAUGCACGAAAGCGUGGGGAGC